ACGCUCGACACCUACGGGGGCAGCAGUGGGGAAUAUUGCACAAUGGGGGAAACCCUGAUGCAGCAACGCCGCGUGAAGGAAGACGGUUUUCGGAUUGUAAACUUCUGUUCUUAGUGAAGAUAGUGACGGUAGCUAAGGAGCAAGCCACGGCUAACUACGUGCCAGCAGCAGCGGUAAUCUGAGCGGGCUGGCAAGGC
This 197-nucleotide ribosomal RNA is filed under the name uncultured bacterium. RNAcentral's name for it is "partial 16S ribosomal RNA". It matches the Rfam family "Bacterial small subunit ribosomal RNA", at positions 328 to 539 of the family's 1533-position model. The record is from RNAcentral.